AAGGACUCCGCUUUCGGUGGAGAGCGUACACAGGUGCUGCAUGGCUGUCGUCAGCUCGUGUCGUGAGAUGUUGGUUAAGUCCCGCAACGAGCGCAACCCCUGCAUUCAGUUGCCAUCGGGUGAAGCCGGGCACUCUGGAAGGACUGCCAUCGACAAGAUGGAGGAAGGUGGGGACGACGUCAAGUCAUCAUGGCCCUUAUGUCCAGGGCGACACACGUGCUGCAAUGGCCGGCACAACGGGAAGCGAGUUCGCGAGGACGAGCGGAUCCCUUAAAGCCGGUCGCAGUUCGGAUUGAAGUCUGCAACUCGACUUCAUGAAGCUGGAAUCGCUAGUAAUCGCAGAUCAGCCAAGCUGCGGUGAAUACGUUCCCGGGCCUU
RNAcentral lists this ribosomal RNA (378 nucleotides) under uncultured Synergistaceae bacterium. RNAcentral describes it as "bacterial SSU rRNA". It matches the Rfam family "Bacterial small subunit ribosomal RNA", at positions 1005 to 1382 of the family's 1533-position model. Lineage: Bacteria; Thermotogati; Synergistota; Synergistia; Synergistales; Synergistaceae. The record is from RNAcentral.